GUAGGUGGCGAGCGUUGUCCGGAAUUAUUGGGCGUAAAGCGCGCGCAGGCGGUUCUUUAAGUCUGAUGUGAAAGCCCACGGCUCAACCGUGGAGGGUCAUUGGAAACUGGAGAACUUGAGUACAGAAGAGGAAAGCGGAAUUCCACGUGUAGCGGUGAGAUGCGUAGAGAUGUGGAGGAACACCAGUGGCGAAGGCGGCUUUCUGGUCUGUAACUGACGCUGAGGCGCGAAAGCGUGGGGGAGCAAACAGGAUUAGAUACCCUGGUAGUCCACGCCGUAAACGAUGAGUGCUAAGUGUUAGGGGGUUUCCGCCCCUUAGUGCAGCAGCUAACGCAUUAAGCACUCCGCCUGGGAGUACGGCCGCAAGGCUG
Molecule: ribosomal RNA, 371 nt
Filed under: uncultured organism
Description: partial 16S ribosomal RNA
Rfam family: Bacterial small subunit ribosomal RNA
Source: RNAcentral